AACGCUGGCGGCGUGCCUAAUACAUGCAAGUCGAGCGAGCUGAACCAACAGAUUCACUUCGGUGAUGACGUUGGGAACGCGAGCGGCGGAUGGGUGAGUAACACGUGGGGAACCUGCCCCAUAGUCUGGGAUACCACUUGGAAACAGGUGCUAAUACCGGAUAAGAAAGCAGAUCGCAUGAUCAGCUUAUAAAAGGCGGCGUAAGCUGUCGCUAUGGGAUGGCCCCGCGGUGCAUUAGCUAGUUGGUAGGGUAACGGCCUACCAAGGCAAUGAUGCAUAGCCGAGUUGAGAGACUGAUCGGCCACAUUGGGACUGAGACACGGCCCAAACUCCUACGGGAGGCAGCAGUAGGGAAUCUUCCACAAUGGACGAAAGUCUGAUGGAGCAACGCCGCGUGAGUGAAGAAGGUUUUCGGAUCGUAAAGCUCUGUUGUUGGUGAAGAAGGAUAGAGGUAGUAACUGGCCUUUAUUUGACGGUAAUCAACCAGAAAGUCACGGCUAACUA
RNAcentral lists this ribosomal RNA (504 nucleotides) under Lactobacillus acidophilus. Its description in RNAcentral is "bacterial SSU rRNA". It matches the Rfam family "Bacterial small subunit ribosomal RNA", at positions 32 to 503 of the family's 1533-position model. The record is from RNAcentral. Lineage: Bacteria; Bacillati; Bacillota; Bacilli; Lactobacillales; Lactobacillaceae.